RNAcentral lists this ribosomal RNA (440 nucleotides) under uncultured bacterium. RNAcentral describes it as "partial 16S ribosomal RNA". It matches the Rfam family "Bacterial small subunit ribosomal RNA", at positions 338 to 795 of the family's 1533-position model. The record is from RNAcentral.
CCUACGGGUGGCAUCAGUGGGGAAUAUUGCACAAUGGGGGAAACCCUGAUGCAGCGACGCCGCGUGAGUGAAGAAGUAAUUCGUUAUGUAAAGCUCUAUCAGCAGGGAAGAAAAUGACGGUACCUGAGUAAGAAGCCCCGGCUAACUACGUGCCAGCAGCCGCGGUAAUACGUAGGGGGCAAGCGUUAUCCGGAUUUACUGGGUGUAAAGGGAGCGUAGACGGCAGUGCAAGUCUGGAGUGAAAGGCGGGGGCUCAACCCCCGGACUGCGGUGGGAACUGGGCGGCUGGAGUGCAGCAGAGGCAUGUGGAAUGCGUGGUGUAGCGGUGAAAUGCGUAGAUAUUGGGCGGAACACCAGUGGCGAAGGCAGCGUGCGGUGCUGUAACUGACGUUGAGGCUCGAAAGCGUGGGGAGCGAACAGGAUUAGAUACCCGAGUAGUC